UCGUAGAAGGAUCCUUUCGCCUA
Molecule: non-coding RNA, 23 nt
Filed under: Arabidopsis thaliana (thale cress)
Lineage: Eukaryota; Viridiplantae; Streptophyta; Magnoliopsida; Brassicales; Brassicaceae
Source: RNAcentral